RNAcentral lists this ribosomal RNA (469 nucleotides) under uncultured bacterium. RNAcentral's name for it is "partial 16S ribosomal RNA". It matches the Rfam family "Bacterial small subunit ribosomal RNA", at positions 28 to 507 of the family's 1533-position model. The record is from RNAcentral.
GACGAACGCUGGCGGCGGGCUUAACACAUGCAAGUCGAACGGAAAGGCCCUGCUUGUGUGGUGUGCUCGAGUGGCGAACGGGUGAGUAACACGUGAGUAACCUGCCCUUGACUUUGGGAUAACGUCAGGAAACUGGGGCUAAUACCGGAUAGGAGCUCCUGCUGCAUGGUGGGGGUUGGAAAGUUUCGGCGGUUGUGGAUGGACGUUCGGCUUGUCAGCUUGUUGGUGGGUGAGUAGCUUACCAAGGCUUUGACGGGUAGCGGGCCUGAGAGGGUGACCGGCGACAUUGGCCAUGCGCUUCGGCCCAGAAUCAUACGGGAGGAAGCAGUGGUGAAUAUUGCACAAUGGGCGGCAGCCCGAUGCAGCAACGACGCGUGCGGGAUGACGGAACUCCGGUUGUACACCGAUUUCGAUCAUGACGAAGCUUUGUGUGACGGUAGUGGAUAAAGAAGCACCGGCUAACUACGUG